Molecule: non-coding RNA, 336 nt
Organism: Cinara cedri
Lineage: Eukaryota; Metazoa; Arthropoda; Insecta; Hemiptera; Aphididae
Source: the annotation of a GenBank genome assembly
CCGAAUAAAGUUACUUAUAUAAGAACUAUUUUUAUCUUUCGCUUAGAUGAUUUAAUUUCAUCUUUAAACGAUCGUUUUAUGCCUUAAAAAAAAAACUGUUUUUUCUUUAUAGUAUAUAUUUUUACCUUCUCUUUGUAAACAUAAAUCGUUUUUAUUUAUGCAUGAAGCAGCUGAUUUUUUCAUGGAUGAUUUGCCAGGUUUUAAAGAUUCAGUUGAGACUUAGUACGACUUAUAGAUUUCUAAAUGGACCUCAGUAGAAUCAUCAUCAAUACCUUCUACCUCCACAGACUCUUUAAUUGCAUGUGAUAAAACAUUGUAUCCUAAUCUCUGCCAACU